UUUUUGGUGUGUCGAUGAAGACUCAGCUCGGCUCCAUUUCUUCCGUUUUGCUAAGGUGCUAUGGUAAGGCAUCUUCUUAUUUUGUUCGGUGAUCAGCAUAGAGCCAGGAAAUCAGAAGUUUUGGUUUUUUCUGACCAGUGACUCCUCCUGCGGCAGAGUGGAGCUGUGGCGAUCAAGUAUUCUCUUCGCAGUUUUUCCUUGUUCUUAGUCUUGAGCAAAGAAGUGUCGUGGUUGACAACUCCUGCGUUAAAUCUUCAUUCUCUCGGCUAUGUAAUUUGAGCGGUGAUCUGUGGAUUCAGGAGCCAUCUCGAUGGAGUGCGUGGAACUGAAUUCGAAUUGAGGUAUUUGCUGCAUGCGAUUCUAGUUGUAGAAUUCACAACUCACCGAGCUUGUUGCUCGUUCUUGCGGAGUAAGGUGCUUUGGGAGAUUGUCUAAGGAGAAUGAGAAGGGGAAAGGGAGGGCGUUAGGGGGUCAUUGCAGUGAGUGGUCAUUCUUUACGAUAGGUGUGACUGCGGGGUAUUCUUCAUACCGUAAAGU
This 537-nucleotide long non-coding RNA is filed under the name Physcomitrium patens. RNAcentral's name for it is "long non-coding RNA (PPAT_LNC006268)". Lineage: Eukaryota; Viridiplantae; Streptophyta; Bryopsida; Funariales; Funariaceae. The record is from RNAcentral.